AUUGAACGCUGGCGGCAGGCCUAACACAUGCAAGUCGAGCGGAGCGGCGGACGGGUGAGUACUGCCUAGGAAUUUGCCUGGUAGUGGGGGAUACCGUCCGGAAACGGGCGCUAAUACCGCAUAGUAUCAGAUGAGCCUAGGUCGGAUUUGCUAGGUGGUGGGGUAAAGGCCUACCAAGGCUACGAGCCGUACCUGGUCUGAGAGGAUGAUCAGUCACACUGGAACUGAGACACGGUCCAGACUCCUACGGGAGGCAGCAGUGGGGAAUAUUUGGCAAUGGGCGAAAGCCUGAUCCAGCCAUGCCGCGUGUGUGAAGAAGGUCUUCGGAUUGUAAAGCACUUUAAGUUGGGAAGCGUUACCAACAGAAUAAGCACCGGCUAACUUCGUGCCAGCCGCCGCGGUAAUUC
This 407-nucleotide ribosomal RNA is filed under the name uncultured bacterium. Its description in RNAcentral is "partial 16S ribosomal RNA". It matches the Rfam family "Bacterial small subunit ribosomal RNA", at positions 30 to 526 of the family's 1533-position model. The record is from RNAcentral.